Molecule: ribosomal RNA, 510 nt
Filed under: uncultured bacterium
Lineage: Bacteria
Description: partial 16S ribosomal RNA
Rfam family: Bacterial small subunit ribosomal RNA
Source: RNAcentral
GACGAACGCUGGCGGCGUGCUUAACACAUGCAAGUCGAACGAAGAGCGAUGGAAGCUUGCUUCUAUCAAUCUUAGUGGCGAACGGGUGAGUAACGCGUAAUCAACCUGCCCUUCAGAGGGGGACAACAGUUGGAAACGACUGCUAAUACCGCAUACGAUCUAAUCUCGGCAUCGAGGAUAGAUGAAAGGUGGCCUCUACAUGUAAGCUAUCACUGAAGGAGGGGAUUGCGUCUGAUUAGCUAGUUGGAGGGGUAACGGCCCACCAAGGCGAUGAUCAGUAGCCGGUCUGAGAGGAUGAACGGCCACAUUGGGACUGAGACACGGCCCAGACUCCUACGGGAGGCAGCAGUGGGGAAUCUUCCGCAAUGGACGAAAGUCUGACGGAGCAACGCCGCGUGAGUGAUGACGGCCUUCGGGUUGUAAAGCUCUGUUAAUCGGGACGAAAGGCCUUCUUGCGAAUAGUGAGAAGGAUUGACGGUACCGGAAUAGAAAGCCACGGCUAACCACGUG